Molecule: long non-coding RNA, 2526 nt
Organism: Maniola jurtina (meadow brown)
Lineage: Eukaryota; Metazoa; Arthropoda; Insecta; Lepidoptera; Nymphalidae
Exons: 2
Source: RefSeq, a predicted model, not a curated record
AGUAAUCAGAAGUGGGAUUCGUUAAGGAGUAAGAUGAUAAUAUGAGAGUUUAGUGUGACGUAUGCUGAGUUAUUUUGAACGUUAUACGAUUAUUUUAAAAUACUAAGAAUUAUGAUAUUCACUGCGUUAUUAUUUUUGAUAUUCUUGGGACAUCUCCUAUAAAUAGUUAAAGUGUAUUAGGGUGUCUUAUUUUGUAAAUAAACGCGAAUUUUUCGGAUUAUACUGUUAAUACAAGCAAGAUGGGUACAAUGGAUUUAAAUUUUUUAUGAUUUUGAUUUCAUACAUGUACCUAUGGAUCGGACAGAGUUAUUGGCUAAAAAUCAUAACUGUCUGAUGAUUUGCGUGAAAAUGUAUGUAAAAGCCACACUACGUCCUUGCCCAAAGCAAAAAUUUUUAAGCUCAUUUUAUGGUGCAUGAAAUCGUGAUGAUUUAAAAUCAUAAAAAAGAUACUUACUAGGGGAUUGUAAUGCUAUCUAUCUUGUAUCAAAUGUGGUUUUGAUUUUUUACAUUCAGUAAAGUAAUUGCAUUUGCAAAUACUAAUAUAUAAUAUAAAAUUAUUGUGAGGGCACAUAUUAUUAUUAUAGGUAUACCGUUCCACUGAGACAGCUCGUGAGGUAAGGCGCUGGUUGCGGGAGGGUGACAUUGACAUAAUUAUAUCUUCAACAUCGCUGUUACACUCCUACAAUCCGGACUCUAUCCUACGUGCCAUCUCAUUCAAGCAUUUACAGUAGCAUCUAUAGUAUAGUAUAGUAUAGUACAGCUAUAGUCAAUACAACUUCAAUGUUCGAGAUUGAGCUUUCAAGUGCAUUAAGCAAUUUACGUUCACUAUUUUUUUGAAACAGAAAAUUAUCAGGUUUCUUCUAAGUCGUAAAAUCAUUUUUGUUUAAUUUUUGCUAACACAUGUGUUAAAUUCUUAUCAAUUAGGGCUCCUUUCUGGAGACCCGUCGCGUGGUGCGUUGCGUCGCGCGUCGUACUACACCAUAUCAAAUUCAAAUUCAAAAUAUUUUUAUUCAAUUAGACUUUUACAAGUACUUUUGAAUCGUCAAGAGCAUACGCUCUCAUACUUGGUCAUUGGUCAAAUAUUUUAUUUAAGUUAACAACGCGACGCGACGCACCACGCGACGCGCAACGCGCUGCGCCUCCAGAAAAGAGCUAUCAAAAUAGAAUUCUAAUGUUCUAAGUAGGAAGCUAGCAACCAUGCAAACUUAGCGUGCCAUGCAAGGAUGCAAACAAACAACAAAGUUGCUGCCAACAUUUUAUUAUCUAAAUAUACAUUUGUCUACACAUACACGCUAGGUAGGCUAACCAUAUUAAAGCUUAUGAUUACAGAAUUUGUGACAUUAAGUAUAGGUGCAUAUUCUGUGCGUUUUCAAAAAUAAUUGAAAAUAUGGGAUGAGGAGUAUUCAACUUGUAAUAAGCGUAAUUUUAACCAUAGAUUAUUUAUUAAUUAUCGUUCAUUGAGUUUCAUUUGUUGAGUUUUUUAUAAUUUCGAGACUUAAAGGGGAGAGAAUAAAACGCAUACAGUUUAUAACUAACAGUUCGUUCCGAACUGAGGCCUUGCGACAUAUAAAAUCCUAUUGACAUUAGCGCCGUAAAUCAACUCAACAAAUAAUCAGGCACGCACUGUUUCUUUGUCUCCGUCCUCGCAGUGAAAAAGUGUAUUAAUUUUAUUUCUAUUUGAUACCUAUUUGACUAAAGUUAUUAUCUGCUCGGCAUGGAGUCGUUGAAACGCAUAAUUGUUUGUGAAUAUGAAGUCAUUAUGUACAGAAAAGUAAUGACGUUUUUAUAGACGGACGGACACAUUCAAAUUCAGAUUGGCCAGGCCGUUCAGAAAUGUUUCAAAAAGGAACCCUAUUUUAAAUGUGCAACUAAAGAGUCAGGUUAUAAAACAUGGCUUGUGUUAAUACUACAUUUAUUGUACUUAAAAUUAUCCUUUGGAUAUUAGUGACAUGUUACAUAUAUUGUAAAAUAGUUUAUUGAUUAGAAAAUAUACUAUGAAAAUUGUAUAGAAAAUGCAUCACAUAAAAUUGUAUUAACUAAACAUUCGUCAAAUACCUAAGUAAGAUUAACUAUUUAAGAGGUAAUAUAGAUAUAGAAUCCCUUGUUGUGACAUGAAGGAAGAUAACCGCUGUUAUUUACAUAGAACAACAUGCAACAAACAGUUCUUACUAACGAUUCAAAGUUGAAUAUAUACAGGUACAGGCAUUUUAUUAAAGAUAACCCAUUUUCACAAAAACAAGCGUGUUCAUUAUUGCUUUUAACUAAGUAUCUACUCAUACAAGCCUGUUUGAAAAAAAACUUUCAAAUCUUUGCGCCAAUCAAAAAUAUUUUUUUUUACAUUUAGGAGAAUGAAAUGCCAAAACCUGUUAUUAGAGCUCCCUAUCCUGCAACAUUUGAUUUGAAUUAUUUUCUUACAUAAUAAAGACAAUAAAGCGAUAACUUUUGGCAACAUUUUAAAAAGCCAACAGGAAUGUUUCAAAAGUUACAGAAUAGGUUGCGGAUAUUCGCCUAAUCAUACACAAAGGA